GAUGAAGAACGUAGCGAAAUGCGAUAAGUAAUGUGAAUUGCAGAAUUCAGUGAAUCAUCGAAUCUUUGAACGCACAUUGCGCCCUUUGGUAUUCCGAAGGGCAUGCCUGUUCGAGCGUCAUUACAACCCUCAAGCUCCGCUUGGUAUUGGGCACCGUCCGCCUCGGCGGACGCGCCUCGAAGACCUCGGCGGCGGCGUCAAGCCCUCAAGCGUAGUAGAAUCUAUCUCGCUUUGGAGGCGCUGGGCGUCGCCCGCCGGACGAACCUUCUGAACCCACUUCUCAAGGUUGACCUCGGAUCAGGUAGGAAUACCCGCUGAACUUAAGCAUAUCAAUAAGCGGAGGA
RNAcentral lists this unclassified non-coding RNA (344 nucleotides) under soil metagenome. RNAcentral describes it as "partial contains 5.8S ribosomal RNA, internal transcribed spacer 2, and large subunit ribosomal RNA". The stretch from base 1 to 120 matches the Rfam family "5.8S ribosomal RNA", at positions 35 to 154 of the family's 154-position model. The record is from RNAcentral.